UCGAGAAUCCUUCGCAAUGGGCGAAAGCCUGACGAUGCGACGCCGUGUGAGCGAUGAAGGCCUUCGGGUUGUAAAGCUCUUUCGCCUGGGAAAAAGAGAGGCUGGCUAAUAUCCAGCUCAUUUGAUGGUACCAGGUAAAGAAGCACCGGCUAACUCCGUGCCAGCAGCUGCGGUAAUACGGAGGGUGCAAGCAUUAAUCGGAGUUAUUGGGCGUAAAGGACGCGUAGGCUGUAAGGCAAGUCAGGUGUGAAAUCCCGGGGCUCAACCCCGGAACUGCGCUUGAAACUGCCUUUCUAGAGGGUAGGCGGAGAAAACGGAAUUCCACAAGUAGCGGUGAAAUGCGUAGAUAUGUGGAAGAACACCUGUGGCGAAAGCGGUUUUCUAGCUUAUUCCUGACGCUGAGGCGUGAAAGCAAGGGGAGCAAACAG
This 428-nucleotide ribosomal RNA is filed under the name uncultured bacterium. RNAcentral's name for it is "bacterial SSU rRNA". It matches the Rfam family "Bacterial small subunit ribosomal RNA", at positions 355 to 775 of the family's 1533-position model. The record is from RNAcentral.